CGUUGAAGGGGUGAAAAGGACAGAAAAAGUAGGAUACAGUCAAUUGAUUAAUUGCAAUUGAUCGUUCAAAGAGAAAAAUCAUCUCAACAGCCGACUUCGUACUGCUCAUCAAAGAUCACAACACAAAAUACAUCUGUCAAUUUUUGCGUAUUUGAACAUUUUUUUUCAACAUUCGUGUUACACAAACAAACAAAAACAGCAGUUCAACACAACUCAGUGGGCCGGUUCUUUUUGUCCUUUUAAAUUUCAAUGACGACUGUCCAGUCUGAAUGAUUAGUAUAGCGAUGGAAAUAACAAAUGCGGAUGGAAAUGGUUGAUUUCAACGAAUCAAAGAUAGAAACUCUUCUCGAGUUUUCACAUCCUGCUGAAAAGUUCCCAACAUGCAGCUGGUUGUAGUUUUGGCGGAGUACUUUUGCACACCUCGCAUCACCAUGCACAUGUGACCUUGCAAACGACGACUGUACAUUUCAACAAUGCGCGCCAAUUUGCUCAGACCGAGAAUUUUUUUGUUGGGCAAAUAGCCGAUCGAAACGCGGCCAAUGAACGGUAUCAAAUGAUGCUCGCACAUGGAAAACAUUUCAAUAUCACGAACAAUAACCAUUUCAUCAUGAUCUUCGUCAAAAACUGCGUCAUUCAAAACUUUUGUCAAAUCAGUACUGUAUCCGGUUGUGAAGAAAAGCAUCGCUUGGGCAGCUCUUUGAGGUGUUUUCUGAAGACCAUCUCGGUGGCAAUCUUCGCCGACGAGUUUCAAAAUUUGCUCAUAACAAGCUGCCAGAUCGUUCUGAAUUUCCUGUUCAGAUCGUUGCUCCACGUUGAGAAAAGUCGACUUCUGAUCAUUAUCUGCAGCUGAAUGCAGGCCGUUACUCGAGUCGACGACCAUAGAACGCUUCCCAAAUGCAUUAGUCAAUGAACUACUACUCCGACUUGAGUCACCAACUCGAACAACAGCUCUGACGGAACGAUUGUCGAACAUAUCGAAUUACAAAAAAAUAAUAAUUAUUGUUUUUCUUUCCACUAAAUAUCUUCAAUUGUAAAAAUUGAGUUGGCCAAAUUAUACGGAAUAAGUGAAAACUAGAGAAAAAGCUCGUUUAAAGCAAACAAUCCGCAUCAUCGUCACCAACAUCCGCAUGAGUUGAGCGAACGAACGGCUGCUGUAUUUGUCGAACGCGCGCUUAUAGACGGGUCUCCAAGGUUGAAUAGCCUCUGGCCGAUAGAAUAAUGUAGGUAAGGGAAGUCGGCAAAACGGAUCCGUAACUUCGGAACAAGGAUUGGCUCUAAGGGCUGGGCCGAUCGGGCUGAGGUUUCAAGCGUGCAGUGUAUGCUUGGCUUAGUUGUGUUGAGGACUUGUUCACUUGCCACCGGUUGUUCGGCUGGUCGAGUGUAUUCGAGUCUGAAGCAGAGCUGGCCGACAGACCGGCACGUGCAGAACCUGAGCUGCGCGGCUGUCCGUUUUCGUGUACAGACCGUUUCGGUCGGCAUUCAACAGCCAACUUAGAACUGGCACGGACACAAGGAAUCUGACUGUAUAAUUAAAACAAAGCAUUGCGAUGGCCGAUGAUCGGUGAUGACGCAAUGCGAUUCCUGCCCAGUGCUCUGAAUGUCAAAGUGAAGAAAUUCAAUCAAGCGCGGGUAAACGGCGGGAGUAACUAUGACUCUCUUAAGGUAGCCAAAUGCCUCGUCAUCUAAUUAGUGACGCGUAUGAAUGGAUCAACAAGAUUCCUUCUGUCCCUAUCUACUAUCUAGCGAAACCACAGCCAAGGGAACGGGCUUGGCAAAAUCAGCGGGGAAAGAAGACCCUGUUGAGCUUGACUCUAGUCUGACUCUGUGAAGAGACAUGAAAGGUGUAGCAUAGGUGGGAGAUUGUCAAUUUGCCAUCGUUCACGCGAUGGUCCGGUGAUCGCCAAUGAAAUACCACUACUUUGAUCGUUUCUUUACUUAUUCGGUAAAGCGAAAAAAUUGUGGCCAAUUUGGCGGCGUUUAUGUCGCUGUUGGUCAUUGUUUUCAUGUUGGAUUGAAGCUUUGUUUACAGCCGUCGCUUUGUGUCUUCAUUUGGCGCAUUGUUGUACUGGGUUAUCCCAGUGUGUGAUGUGGUCACAAUGGAUGAUCGGCGAUAGGCUUGAAGUGAUUCGCUCCGGAAACAGUGUCAGACGGGGAGUUUGACUGGGGCGGUACAUCUGUUAAACGAUAACGCAGGUGUCCUAAGGUAAGCUCAGCGAGGACAGAAACCUCGCCUAGAGUAAACGGGCACAAGCUUACUUGAUUUUGAUUUCCAGUACGAAUAGAAACCGCGAAAGCGUGGCCUAUCGAUCCUUUUGAUUGUGUAGAUUUCAUGCAAGAGGUGUCAGAAAAGUUACCACAGGGAUAACUGGCUUGUGGCAGCCAAGCGUCCAUAGCGACGUUGCUUUUUGAUCCUUCGAUGUCGGCUCUUCCUAUCAUUGCGAAGCAGAAUUCGCCAAGCGUUGGAUUGUUCACCCACCAAUAGGGAACGUGAGCUGGGAUUAGACCGUCGUGAGACAGGUUAGUUUUACCCUACUGAUGACAAGUCGUUGCGAUAGUAAUCCUGCUCAGUACGAGAGGAACCGCGGGAUCAGACAUUUGGUUCAUGCGCUCGGCUGAAAGGCCGGUGGCGCGAAGCUAGCAUCUGCAAGAUUAUGACUGAACGCCUCUAAGUCAGAAUCUUUUCUAGUCAUUGG
Molecule: ribosomal RNA, 2693 nt
Filed under: Trichinella spiralis
Lineage: Eukaryota; Metazoa; Nematoda; Enoplea; Trichinellida; Trichinellidae
Description: eukaryotic LSU rRNA
Rfam family: Eukaryotic large subunit ribosomal RNA (bases 1210-2693)
Source: RNAcentral